AAAUUGAAGAGUUUGAUCAUGGCUCAGAUUGAACGCUGGCGGCAGGCCUAACACAUGCAAGUCGAACGGUAGCACAGAGAGCUUGCUCUCGGGUGACGAGUGGCGGACGGGUGAGUAAUGUCUGGGAAACUGCCUGAUGGAGGGGGAUAACUACUGGAAACGGUGGCUAAUACCGCAUAACGUCGAAAGACCAAAGAGGGGGACCUUCGGGCCUCUUGCCAUCAGAUGUGCCCAGAUGGGAUUAGCUUGUUGGUGAGGUAACGGCUCACCAAGGCGACGAUCCCUAGCUGGUCUGAGAGGAUGACCAGCCACAC
RNAcentral lists this ribosomal RNA (314 nucleotides) under Salmonella enterica subsp. enterica serovar Kentucky. RNAcentral's name for it is "bacterial SSU rRNA". It matches the Rfam family "Bacterial small subunit ribosomal RNA", at positions 1 to 313 of the family's 1533-position model. Lineage: Bacteria; Pseudomonadati; Pseudomonadota; Gammaproteobacteria; Enterobacterales; Enterobacteriaceae. The record is from RNAcentral.